Molecule: ribosomal RNA, 468 nt
Filed under: uncultured bacterium
Lineage: Bacteria
Description: partial 16S ribosomal RNA
Rfam family: Bacterial small subunit ribosomal RNA
Source: RNAcentral
GACGAACGCUGGCGGCGUGCUUAACACAUGCAAGUCGAACGGAAAGGCCCUGCUUUUGUGGGGUGCUCGAGUGGCGAACGGGUGAGUAACACGUGAGUAACCUGCCCUUGACUUUGGGAUAACUUCAGGAAACUGGGGCUAAUACCGGAUAGGAGCUCCUGCUGCAUGGUGGGGGUUGGAAAGUUUCGGCGGUUGGGGAUGGACUCGCGGCUUAUCAGCUUGUUGGUGGGGUAGUGGCUUACCAAGGCUUUGACGGGUAGCCGGCCUGAGAGGGUGACCGGCCACAUUGGUCCUGCGGUACGGCCCAGUCUCCUACGGGAGGCAGCAGUGGGGAAUAUUGCACAAUGGGCGGAAGCCUGAUGCAGCAACGCCGCGUGCGGGAUGACGGCCUUCGGGUUGUAAACCGCUUUCGCCUGUGACGAAGCGUGAGUGACGGUAAUGGGUAAAGAAGCACCGGCUAACUACGUG